UCAAUCUCUGACACGCUGAGAAGAAAAAAUAAUAAGUCAAAUCCGUCCAGCCAGUCUGAACGAGAGAGGGAAGGAGGUGAUAUCUCCCUCACCUGAAUAGGAGAAAGAGGGAAAGCGAGAGAGAGAGAGAGAAUAGUGAGAGGGGGUGAGAGAAAGUGAAUGAGAACAAGAGAUGGAGAGGUGGGAAAAAGUGAGGGAGAAGACAGGGAGACAGAGAGAGAGUGUGUGAGUGAAAGACAAAGCGAGGGAGAAGACAGGGAGACAGAGAGAGAGUGCGUGAGAAAGACAAAGCGAGGAGGAGAGAGAAUGAUAGAAAAAGAGGGCAAGAGAAAGAGAGCAGUCUGAUGAAUUGAGACAGAGCCGACUGACCGCAGGUCAUUAAGCUGCCAUUGGACUGAGCAGUUAUAUACCCUCAUCACCCACAGCCAAUGAAGUCCAUUCAGCCAGCCUUCAGUCAGGACUCUGGGAGCCCGCCUGGACCAGUGAUCUGGAAUGGCCUCCUCAGCCUCCUAUGGAGACCUGGAGAACAAGAGACAUGGAGGCAGAGAGACCCCAAGUCUCCCGGCUCCUACGUCCUGAACCCCUACUGCUCCUGCUGCCCCCUAGCAUCCUCGUCUUUACUGAGACCUCCCCUGUAGACACUGGACUGCACACAGCACAAUCUGAGGCGGUUGGUGUCAUGGCUUGCUGAAAUGAAAUGGAGUGACUCAGUGACAAUUUGAAG
This 724-nucleotide long non-coding RNA is filed under the name Salmo salar (Atlantic salmon). RNAcentral describes it as "lncRNA (ENSSSAG00000101245.1)". Lineage: Eukaryota; Metazoa; Chordata; Actinopteri; Salmoniformes; Salmonidae. The record is from RNAcentral.